Molecule: ribosomal RNA, 497 nt
Filed under: uncultured bacterium
Lineage: Bacteria
Description: partial 16S ribosomal RNA
Rfam family: Bacterial small subunit ribosomal RNA
Source: RNAcentral
GACGAACGCUGGCGGCAUGCCUAAUACAUGCAAGUUGAGCGAUGAAGAUUGGUGCUUGCACCAAUUUGAAGAGCAGCGAACGGGUGAGUAACGCGUGGGGAAUCUGCCUUUGAGCGGGGGACAACAUUUGGAAACGAAUGCUAAUACCGCAUAACAACUUUAAACAUAAGUUUUAAGUUUGAAAGAUGCAAUUGCAUCACUCAAAGAUGAUCCCGCGUUGUAUUAGCUAGUUGGUGAGGUAAAGGCUCACCAAGGCGAUGAUACAUAGCCGACCUGAGAGGGUGAUCGGCCACAUUGGGACUGAGACACGGCCCAAACUCCUACGGGAGGCAGCAGUAGGGAAUCUUCGGCAAUGGACGAAAGUCUGACCGAGCAACGCCGCGUGAGUGAAGAAGGUUUUCGGAUCGUAAAACUCUGUUGGUAGAGAAGAACGUUGGUGAGAGUGGAAAGCUCAUCAAGUGACGGUAACUACCCAGAAAGGGACGGCUAACUACGUG